Chlorocebus sabaeus (green monkey) is the source of this 1960-nucleotide long non-coding RNA. RefSeq lists it as uncharacterized. NCBI's taxonomy places the organism in Eukaryota, Metazoa, Chordata, Mammalia, Primates, Cercopithecidae. The record is from RefSeq and is a predicted model, not a curated record.
GUAGUGCUUCUUAAAUGUUAAUGUGCAUAUGCCAAAUCACGUGGGCAUCUUGUUAAAAUGCAGAGUUUUGUGUUGAGGGUCUGGGGAGGGCUGAGAUUGUGCAGUUCUAAGGAGAUGCCAGGUGGUGCCAAUUCUGCUGCACUGGACACCACACUUAGAGUGGCGAGGUCACUAAAUAAUAGGAGCGAAAGGAUUGUGAGAACACCGACAUCAGUGAGAAGGAGGCUGGCUGCGGAGACCAUGAAAAUGAAAUCUAUGCAUGGAGUGCAACCUUGCUGAGAAUAUUUGUUUCCUUUCUAUAUUGUCUCUCCAUGGCCUGCUCGUUCUCUUCAGGUACCAUCUAUACAAUCCUAGAAUGAAGUUCAAAGUCAACAAAGCUCAUCAUGUGCUCAGAGUUUCAAAUCAGGUUUUCUUCUCUACUGGUUAGUAUAAGUAGAUGGCCAAGAAGUACUAGCUAUCUGAGAAAGUCUCUAACAUGAUAGGUUGGAAUGAAACAAGCAAAAAACCCACAACAGCUUAGAGAAUAUACAGGCAAGACAGGGAGAAAAUGAAGUAAUAGAAAAUAACCUAUUAUUAAAAACCUCAGAAGGAAAGGAAAAGAUACUCCAUCUAUGGAAAAAAAAUCAAGAUGCUGUCUAUAAAAAGAAAUAUUUGGAGGACAAAAAUGUGCUUCUGGAAAUUAAAAACAUGAUACUAGAAACUAGAAACUCAGUAGAAGAAAAGGAAAUCACCUGGAAAGUAGAAUAAAAAAUAUAGAAAUGGAAACUAAGCUAAAAGCGCAAGAAAGUUAAAGGAUCAGGAGAUCUAAUAUCUGAAUAAUGUGAGUUUCCAGAGUGAAAAGAACAGAGAACACAAAGAGGAGGAAAUCAUCAAAGAAAUAGUUCAAGAAAAUUUCUCUGCAUUAAAAGACAUGAGUUGUCAGAUUGGAAGGGUCUGUUGAAUUUACAACAGAAUGAGUAAAGACAGAUUUACAACAAUGCCCAUGUUGUGAAGUUUCAGAACACUGGGAACAAAUAAGUUUCUACAACCUUCCAAAGGAAAAAAAAAAUAUCAUUUUUUUGUAUUUAUCAUACAAAGGAUUGGUAACAAAAGUGGCUUUGAACUUUUGAGUCACAACCUUGAAGACAAGAAAAUAAGAGCAGUGCCUUCAAAAUUCUGAAGGAAAAUUAUUUCCUUUCUAGAUUUCUAUACAUAAACUAUCACUUCGAUUUGAGAGGUGGAAAACUACAUUUUCAGAUGUGUAAAAUCUGUAAAACUGGGUCUUAUGCAACCUUUCUUAAGAGGAAUUAGGAGAUCCAGUUAGAAGAGAGUCCCCUGGAGGAUGAGGAGAUCCCAGAAUGAGAGCUGUGCCAGUGAUGCAGAUUAGAGGAGUUGACUAGAGAGACAGACUGAGUGCUGUCAUCAACAAUUCCUCUGCUGACAUUUACUUUUUUUUCAACUUUAGGAAAGCAUGCCUGGGUUUCAUACCAGCUUCUAAUCUUGUCUUGACCACAUAUUGAUGAAAUUCCUACAUCACUGCUGCUUAGACCUUCUAAGGUCAUUUAUUUCACCCCACAGAUUUUUUUCUGUUUUCAUUGACUCCUGAAGGCUAGUUGGCAAGGACUGAGGUCAGGUUACGGCAGGUUUAGAAGAAGAAAAUACUCAAUUCAGAGUAUAGUCCAUCCAUUCAGAAUGCUAGACAUCCUUUGCCUGGCCCACAGGACAGUCCUGUCUGAUGGCCCAGUUGUAGCAAGCCCUAUGUUACUGAGGACUCACUGGUAUGCCUGACCCUACGACUUCACUGGAAGGGGCUCUCAUAAACAUUCAGGGCAGCUGGAGACAAAGUGUGACCUGGAGACAUCUUCAGCUUUUCUUUUCUUGGAAGCCUUCAUCUAAAAGUUGUGAUAUUAUCUGCGUUUUGUUGUUGUUGUUGUUUGUUUGUUUGUUUAGACGGAGUCUCUGUCGCCCAGGCUGGAGUGCA